UACGAAGGGGGCUAGCGUUGUUCGGAUUUACUGGGCGUAAAGCGCACGUAGGCGGUUUGUUAAGUGAGAGGUGAAAUCCCAGAGCUCAACCCUGGACCUGCAUUCGAUACGGGCAGACUAGAGUUCGGCAGGGGAGACUGGAAUUCCUGGUGUAGCGGUGAAAUGCGCAGAUAUCAGGAGGAACACCGGUGGCGAAGGCGGGUCUCUGGGCCGAAACUGACGCUGAGGAGCGAAAGCGUGGGGAGCAAACAGG
This 253-nucleotide ribosomal RNA is filed under the name uncultured bacterium. Its description in RNAcentral is "partial 16S ribosomal RNA". It matches the Rfam family "Bacterial small subunit ribosomal RNA", at positions 524 to 776 of the family's 1533-position model. The record is from RNAcentral.